RNAcentral lists this ribosomal RNA (463 nucleotides) under uncultured bacterium. Its description in RNAcentral is "partial 16S ribosomal RNA". It matches the Rfam family "Bacterial small subunit ribosomal RNA", at positions 28 to 507 of the family's 1533-position model. The record is from RNAcentral.
GAUGAACGCUGACAGAAUGCUUAACACAUGCAAGUCUUUGGCGAAGCUGUGCUUGCACAGCCUAGCCAAGGCGGACGGGUGAGUAACGCGUAAGGAACUUGCCCUGCAGUCAGGGAUAACAGACGGAAACGACUGAUAAGACCUGGUAAAGUCAGGCGGACUCACGUCCAGCCUGAUGAAAAGAGAUGCUGUAGGAGAGCCUUGCGUCCUAUUAGCUUGUUGGUGGGGUAACGGCCCACCAAGGCGAUGAUAGGUAGCCGGCCUGAGAGGGUGGACGGCCACAAGGGGACUGAGAUACGGCCCUUACUCCUACGGGAGGCAGCAGUGGGGAAUAUUGGACAAUGGGGGCAACCCUGAUCCAGCAAUUCUGUGUGCACGAUGAAGGUUUUCGGAUUGUAAAGUGCUUUCAGCAGGGAAGAAAAAAAUGACGGUACCUGCAGAAGAAGCGACGGCUAAAUACGUG